This 119-nucleotide ribosomal RNA is filed under the name Triticum aestivum (bread wheat). The record is from RNAcentral. Lineage: Eukaryota; Viridiplantae; Streptophyta; Magnoliopsida; Poales; Poaceae.
GGAUGUGAUCAUACCAGCACUAAAGCACCGGAUCCCAUCAGAACUCCGUAGUUAAGCGUGCUUGGGCGAGAGUAGCACUAGGAUGGGUGACCUCCUGGGAAGUCCUCGUGUUGCAUUCC